UACGGAGGAUCCAAGCGUUAUCCGGAAUUACUGGGCGUAAAGAGUUGCGUAGGUGGCAUAGUAAGCGGACAGUGAAAACGUGUGGCUCAACCACAUAAACAUUGCCUGAACUACUAAGCUAGAGGACAAGAGAGGUAUCUGGUAUUCCCAGUGUAGGAGUGAAAUCCGUAGAUAUUGGGAGGAACACCGAUGGCGUAGGCAGGGUACUGGCUUGUUCCUGACACUAAGGCACGAAAGCGUGGGUAGCGACCCGGAUUAGAUACCCGGUUAGUCCACGCCGUAAACGAUGAAUGCUAGCUGUUAUUGGUAUCGACCCCAGUAGUAGCAAAGCUAACGCGUUAAGCAUUCCGCCUGUGGAGUACGGUCGCAAGACUAAAACAUAAAGGAAUUGACGGGGACCCGCACAAGCGGUGGAGCGUGUUGUUUAAUUCGAAAGUAAGCGAAGAACCUUACCCAGGCUUGACAUCCUGCGAAUUUCUCCGAAAGGAGAGAGUGCUUUAUUGAGCGCAGUGACAGGUGUUGCAUGGCCGUCGUCAGCUCGUGUCGUGAGAUGUUUGGUUAAGUCCAUCAACGAGCGCAACCCUUAUGUUUAGUUGCUUUUCUAAACAGACUGCCCUGGUAACAGGGAGGAAGGAGGGGAUGAUGUCAGGUCAGUAUUGCCCUUACGUCUGGGGCUACAGACACGCUACAAUGGCCGGUACAAAGGGCAGCCAAGUCGCGAGACGGAGCAAAUCCCAUCAAAACCGGUCCCAGUUCGGAUAGUAGGCUGAAACUCGCCUGCUUGAAGCCGGAAUCGCUAGUAACGGUAAGUCAGCAUAUUACCGUGAAUACGUUCCCGGGUCUUGUACACACCGCCCGUCAAGCCAUGAAAGUCGCCAAUACCUGACGUGUGAGCUUUGCCUCGCCCUAAGGUAGGGGAGAUGAUUGGGGUU
This 932-nucleotide ribosomal RNA is filed under the name uncultured bacterium. RNAcentral's name for it is "bacterial SSU rRNA". It matches the Rfam family "Bacterial small subunit ribosomal RNA", at positions 524 to 1482 of the family's 1533-position model. The record is from RNAcentral.